Molecule: long non-coding RNA, 902 nt
Organism: Chinchilla lanigera (long-tailed chinchilla)
Lineage: Eukaryota; Metazoa; Chordata; Mammalia; Rodentia; Chinchillidae
Exons: 2
Source: RefSeq, a predicted model, not a curated record
CCCUGUUUCAGAAAGACCAAAAGAAAAAAAAAAAGGGAGAGAGACCCAGAAGAGACACAGACAUAUAUCUUCCCUAUCUCUUGUCAUGUGGUGUCAUGUGCCACCUCAAAACUCUACCAAUAAGACUACCUGCUAUGAAGUCAUGCAGCCAAGGGGGAUCCUUGCCAGAGCCCACAUGUGCCAUGCUGUUUGGACUUUCGGCCUCCCAAACUAUGAGUUAAAUAAACCUCUUAUUUUUACAAAGUUAGCCUGCCUCUAGUAUUUUGUUAUAGUAAUGAAAGUCUAAUAUAGUGGGCACUCUUAGUCUGCACUAGGAAUAUUAAAAAAGGACACUCUCUCUUAGGGACCUUGCAAUAGAGAUGAGAUGACUAUGAAGUGGGCAUAAAAAUAGAAGAGAAUAUACAGUAAAAAUGAUAAUGGUGGGUACAGGGUGCUGUGGAAAUACGCUGAAAAGGCUACUCAUCUCAGCUCUGGCUUUCAAGACUGCUGUCUGAAGGAGGCAAGAUUUUUAAAGGACAUGAAGGAGUAGUUCUUAAGGAAUACUAUUAUCUGUGGAGACUACCGCUGGAAGUACUCUGUUGUAUAACACCUGAGUGGAGGUGACUGAUGCAAGUUGGGUAGAUGGAUAGUGUGGGACUCAGCAAGACCAGAGCUGCAGAGGUGAGUGUGACGACAGCAGCAAGUUGGCAGUAACUGAAGGCGGAUGGAAGUGAACGGGAAACCUGUGGCGAUUAUGUCAUGUAAGAAGGGUAAAGGUUGUGGAUAGAACUCUAGGGACCCCGAUACUUGAAGGUAGCUGAAGGAGAAGAAUCCACAGAGACUGAAAAGGGGACGUCAGAGAAGUAGAAGGAAAAAGUAGGAGAGAGUUCCAUCGAAAAAUGCAAAAAAAAAAAAAAAAAAAA